RNAcentral lists this ribosomal RNA (253 nucleotides) under uncultured bacterium. RNAcentral describes it as "partial 16S ribosomal RNA". It matches the Rfam family "Bacterial small subunit ribosomal RNA", at positions 524 to 776 of the family's 1533-position model. The record is from RNAcentral.
UACGUAGGGCGCAAGUGUUAUCCGGAAUUAUUGGGCGUAAAGAGCUCGUAGGCGGUUUGUCGCGUCUGCCGUGAAAGUCCGGGGCUUAACUCCGGAUCUGCGGUGGGUACGGGCAGACUAGAGUGCAGUAGGGGAGACUGGAAUUCCUGGUGUAGCGGUGAAAUGCGCAGAUAUCAGGAGGAACACCGAUGGCGAAGGCAGGUCUCUGGGCUGUAACUGACGCUGAGGAGCGAAAGCAUGGGGAGCGAACAGG